AGUGAACGCUGGCGGUAGGCCUAACACAUGCAAGUCGAACGGCAGCACAGUAAGAGCUUGCUCUUACGGGUGGCGAGUGGCGGACGGGUGAGGAAUACAUCGGAAUCUACUUUUUCGUGGGGGAUAACGUAGGGAAACUUACGCUAAUACCGCAUACGACCUACGGGUGAAAGCAGGGGAUCUUCGGACCUUGCGCGAUUGAAUGAGCCGAUGUCGGAUUAGCUAGUUGGCGGGGUAAAGGCCCACCAAGGCGACGAUCCGUAGCUGGUCUGAGAGGAUGAUCAGCCACACUGGAACUGAGACGCGGUCCAGACUCCUACGGGAGGCAGCAGUGGGGAAUAUUGGACAAUGGGCGCAAGCCUGAUCCAGCCAUACCGCGUGGGUGAAGAAGGCCUUCGGGUUGUAAAGCCCUUUUGUUGGGAAAGAAAAGCAGCAGGUUAAUACCCCGCUGUUCCGACGGUACCCAAAGAAUAAGCACCGGCUAACUUCGUG
This 492-nucleotide ribosomal RNA is filed under the name uncultured bacterium. Its description in RNAcentral is "partial 16S ribosomal RNA". It matches the Rfam family "Bacterial small subunit ribosomal RNA", at positions 29 to 507 of the family's 1533-position model. The record is from RNAcentral.